UACGUAGGGUGCGAGCGUAAUCGGAAUUACUGGGCGUAAAGCGUGCGCAGGCGGUUUGUAAGUCAGAUGUGAAAUCCCCGGGCUCAACCUGGGACUGCGUUUGAAACUACAAGGCUAGAGUGUAGCAGAGGGGGGUAGAAUUCCACGUGUAGCAGUGAAAUGCGUAGAGAUGUGGAGGAAUACCAAUGGCGAGGCAGCCCCCUGGGUUAACACUGACGCUCAUGCACGAAAGCGUGGGGAGCAAACAGG
RNAcentral lists this ribosomal RNA (249 nucleotides) under uncultured bacterium. Its description in RNAcentral is "partial 16S ribosomal RNA". It matches the Rfam family "Bacterial small subunit ribosomal RNA", at positions 524 to 776 of the family's 1533-position model. The record is from RNAcentral.